UCGAGAAUUUUUCUCAAUGGGGGAAACCCUGAAGGAGCGACGCCGCGUGGAGGAUGAAGGUCUUCGGAUUGUAAACUCCUGUCAUUUGGGAACAAUUGUCACCGGUUAACUGCCGGGGGCUUGAUAGUACCAGAAGAGGAAGAGACGGCUAACUCUGUGCCAGCAGCCGCGGUAAUACAGAGGUCUCAAGCGUUGUUCGGAUUCAUUGGGCGUAAAGGGUGCGUAGGUGGCGGGGUAAGUCAGGUGUGAAAUCUCGGAGCUCAACUCCGAAACUGCACUUGAUACUGCCUUGCUCGAGUACUGGAGAGGAGAUUGGAAUUUACGGUGUAGCAGUGAAAUGCGUAGAUAUCGUAAGGAAGACCAGUGGCGAAGGCGAAUCUCUGGACAGUUACUGACACUGAGGCACGAAGGCCAGGGGAGCAAACAGGAUUAGAUACCCUGGUAGUCCUGGCAGUAAACGGUGCGCGUUUGGUGUGGGAGGA
Molecule: ribosomal RNA, 482 nt
Filed under: uncultured Verrucomicrobiota bacterium
Lineage: Bacteria; Pseudomonadati; Verrucomicrobiota
Description: bacterial SSU rRNA
Rfam family: Bacterial small subunit ribosomal RNA
Source: RNAcentral